GGUUUCGUGGUGUAGUUGGUUAUCACAUUUGUCUAACACACAAAAGGUCCCCAGAUUGAGCCUGGGCGAAAUCA
This 74-nucleotide transfer RNA is filed under the name Pyronema omphalodes CBS 100304. RNAcentral describes it as "tRNA-Val". It matches the Rfam family "tRNA". Rfam says of the family: Transfer RNA (tRNA) molecules are approximately 80 nucleotides in length. Their secondary structure includes four short double-helical elements and three loops (D, anti-codon, and T loops). The record is from RNAcentral. Lineage: Eukaryota; Fungi; Ascomycota; Pezizomycetes; Pezizales; Pyronemataceae.